Long non-coding RNA from Homo sapiens (human), 810 nucleotides. RefSeq lists it as uncharacterized. The record is from RefSeq and is a predicted model, not a curated record. NCBI's taxonomy places the organism in Eukaryota, Metazoa, Chordata, Mammalia, Primates, Hominidae. The transcript has 3 exons.
CGUGCCUGUAGUAGGGCUCGGGAGGCUGAGGCAGGGGAAUCGCUCAAAAAAAAAAAACAACUGUGCCCAGAGGUGGGCACAGAAGACACCCUUGCCCUCCGACUCUGAAAAGCCCCUAAGACCAGAUCCCACUUAAUCUCUUUUCUCCUAAGGUCACCUGGUGUUCAGGAAAGAACUUCGGAGUGUCCCAGGCGCUGCCCCCAUGGGGGCCUCACCCAGUUGAGGUCCCCAUCCCAUCAUCUUAAGAGGAACACCACAGGUUAACCCAAGCGCUGCCUCUAGGCAGGAGAUCUGCAGACACCUGGUCUGCAUGGAACCUGGAGCACUAAUCCAUAAGUGGAGCCUGGGAAGGGGACCUUGUCCUAUCCCAGGACAGAGGAGAAAGCAAGUGCAGCAGUGGCCAAGAGCUGUCCUGGGCCUCCUGACAACUGAGGAGCUGGAUGCAGCGGGGCUCUUCUCAGCCCUGAGUCAGAGGUGAAGACUCUUCCGCCAUCCUGUCAUCAGAUUCGUUCUCCUAACAAGCUCGCAUCCUGGGCAGAGCUUGUUCGUGUGAUGCCCACUUUAGAGGUAGAGCUGGGAGAGAACAAGGUGUUCCCCCAGGGCUCCUUCGCCUGGGAAUCCAGCUCCUCCAGCUGGAGCCCCGAUGCUCUGAAGCUAGAGCCUCACUUUCUCCCAUCAAACUCUGGCUCUGCCCCUUCCCAGCUCUGGGAUUUUGGUCAAAUUCCUUGCCUUCUCUGUGCUGAAGUUCCCCUAUCUAAACAAUGGGGAUUGUUAUGAAGGCUAAAUGAAAUAAACAUGCAGCAACUAGCA